UCGGGUUGUAAAGCACUUUUGUCCGGAAAGAAAUCCUCUGGGUUAAUACCUCGGGGGGAUGACGGUACCGGAAGAAUAAGCACCGGCUAACUACGUGCCAGCAGCCGCGGUAAUACGUAGGGUGCGAGCGUUAAUCGGAAUUACUGGGCGUAAAGCGUGCGCAGGCGGUUCGCUAAGACCGAUGUGAAAUCCCCCGGGCUUAACCUGGGAACUGCAUUGGUGACUGGCGGGCUAGAGUAUGGCAGAGGGGGGGUAGAGUUUCCACGUGUAGCAGUGAAAUGCGUAGAGAUGUGGAGGAAUACCGAUGGCGAAGGCAGCCCCUGGGCCAAUACUGACGCUCAUGCACGAAAGCGUGGGGAGCAAACAGGAUUAGAUACCCUGGUAGUCCACGCCCUAAACGAUGUCAACUAGUUGUCGGGUCUUCAUUGACUUGGUAACGAAGCUAACGCGUGAAGUUGACCGCCUGGGAAGUACGGUCGCAAGAUUAAAACUCAAAGGAAUUGACGGGGACCCGCACAAGCGGUGGAUGAUGUGGAUUAAUUCGAUGCAACGCGAAAAACCUUACCUACCCUUGACAUGUACGGAACCUUGCUG
RNAcentral lists this ribosomal RNA (594 nucleotides) under uncultured Burkholderia sp. Its description in RNAcentral is "bacterial SSU rRNA". It matches the Rfam family "Bacterial small subunit ribosomal RNA", at positions 418 to 1003 of the family's 1533-position model. The record is from RNAcentral. Lineage: Bacteria; Pseudomonadati; Pseudomonadota; Betaproteobacteria; Burkholderiales; Burkholderiaceae.